CUGAGUUUUCUAAACUCCCAAACCCAUGUGAACAUACCUUUUGUUGCCUCGGCAGUGGUGCCGUCGCCCCUCGCGGCGGCGGCAGCCUGCCGGCGGACCCAAUAAACUCUUGUUGUUACAGUGUCAUUCUGAAUUAAAAAACUUAAUUAGUUA
Molecule: unclassified non-coding RNA, 153 nt
Filed under: uncultured fungus
Lineage: Eukaryota; Fungi
Also listed under: 1 other name
Description: sequence contains ITS1
Source: RNAcentral